GGACGAACGCUGGCGGCGUGCUUAACACAUGCAAGUCGAGCGGUAAGGCCCUUUCGGGGGUACGACGAGCGGCGAACGGGUGAGUAACACGUGGGUGACCUGCCCUCAGCUCUGGGAUAAGCCUGGGAAACCGGGUCUAAUACUGGAUAUGACUCCAUGACGCAUGUUGGUGGGGUGGAAAGCCUUGUGCGGCUGAGGAUGGGCCCGCGGCCUAUCAGCUUGGUUGGUGGGGUGANGGCCUACCAAGGCGACGACGGGUAGCCGGCCUGAGAGGGCGACCGGCCACACU
Molecule: ribosomal RNA, 289 nt
Filed under: uncultured bacterium
Lineage: Bacteria
Description: partial 16S ribosomal RNA
Rfam family: Bacterial small subunit ribosomal RNA
Source: RNAcentral